Molecule: ribosomal RNA, 439 nt
Filed under: uncultured bacterium
Lineage: Bacteria
Description: partial 16S ribosomal RNA
Rfam family: Bacterial small subunit ribosomal RNA
Source: RNAcentral
CUACGGGAGGCAGCAGUGGGGAAUCUUAGACAAUGGGCGCAAGCCUGAUCUAGCCAUGCCGCGUGAGUGACGAAGGCCAUAGGGUCGUAAAGCUCUUUCGCUGGGGAAGAUAAUGACGGUACCCAGUAAAGAAACCCCGGCUAACUCCGUGCCAGCAGCCGCGGUAAUACGGAGGGGGUUAGCGUUGUUCGGAAUUACUGGGCGUAAAGCGCGCGUAGGCGGAUCAGAAAGUUGGGGGUGAAAUCCCGGGGCUCAACCCCGGAACUGCCUUCAAAACUCCUGGUCUUGAGUUCGAGAGAGGUGAGUGGAAUUCCGAGUGUAGAGGUGAAAUUCGUAGAUAUUCGGAGGAACACCAGUGGCGAAGGCGGCUCACUGGCUCGAUACUGACGCUGAGGUGCGAAAGCGUGGGGAGCAAACAGGAUUAGAUACCCCAGUAGUC